This 468-nucleotide ribosomal RNA is filed under the name uncultured bacterium. RNAcentral describes it as "partial 16S ribosomal RNA". It matches the Rfam family "Bacterial small subunit ribosomal RNA", at positions 28 to 507 of the family's 1533-position model. The record is from RNAcentral.
GACGAACGCUGGCGGCGUGCUUAACACAUGCAAGUCGAACGGAAAGGCCCUGCUUUUGUGGGGUGCUCGAGUGGCGAACGGGUGAGUAACACGUGAGUAACCUGCCCUUGACUUUGGGAUAACUUCAGGAAACUGGGGCUAAUACCGGAUAGGAGCUCCUGCUGCAUGGUGGGGGUUGGAAAGUUUCGGCGGUUGGGGAUGGACUCGCGGCUUAUCAGCUUGUUGGUGGGGUAGUGGCUUACCAAGGCUUUGACGGGUAGCCGGCCUGAGAGGGUGACCGGCCACAUUGGGACUGAGAUACGGGCCAGACUCAUACGGGAGGAAGCAGUGGAGAAUAUUGCACAAUGGGCGGAAGCAUGAUGCAGCAACGCCGCGUGCGGGAUGACGGCUUUCGGGUUGUAAACCGCUUUCGCCUGUGACGAAGCGUGAGUGACGGUAAUGGGUAAAGAAGCACCGGCUAACUACGUG